This is a long non-coding RNA of Balaenoptera acutorostrata (minke whale), 466 nucleotides long. RefSeq lists it as uncharacterized. The record is from RefSeq and is a predicted model, not a curated record. The transcript is spliced from 4 exons. NCBI's taxonomy places the organism in Eukaryota, Metazoa, Chordata, Mammalia, Artiodactyla, Balaenopteridae.
AUCUUAACUUUGGAGAAAACCCAGUCAACAGAUCGAACGUGAAGGGGUGUCAAUCCUCAGAGAUGGAAAUGACUGGUGGAAUGAACUGGCAGUUGAAUAGCUGCACCUGCAUAUCAACCAUCUGGAACCCAAUUUCUAUUCCUCCGGUUUCCCACAUGGUUCCAACUCCAAUGGGAGCUCCUUCCCUAAUGGCACCUCAACCCGUGAUUUAUACCCAACCAGGCUUAAGGACCAGCAAGCCUUCCGCUCCAUCCACAAGAAAUAACAGACAGAAUCCAUGAAGAAGUACCAAAGCAAAAAGAUUCCAAAUCAGAGGUGAAAACAAAUGAUGAUCUCUCUACAGGCUGAUUGAAUCAUCCACAUCUUCCAAGUAAAAUAAACAUCCAUUUGGACAUUCAAUACUCUUGAGAUUCUUCAUUCAGUGUUUUUGAGGUGAUGCACUCUUUCUCUUGUUUUAAUAGUUAGC